Molecule: ribosomal RNA, 1454 nt
Filed under: Mammaliicoccus sciuri
Lineage: Bacteria; Bacillati; Bacillota; Bacilli; Caryophanales; Staphylococcaceae
Description: bacterial SSU rRNA
Rfam family: Bacterial small subunit ribosomal RNA
Source: RNAcentral
GCGGUGCGGCGUGCUAUACAUGCAGUCGAGCGAACAGAUGAGAAGCUUGCUUCUCUGAUGUUAGCGGCGGACGGGUGAGUAACACGUGGGUAACCUACCUAUAAGACUGGGAUAACUCCGGGAAACCGGGGCUAAUACCGGAUAAUAUUUUGAACCGCAUGGUUCAAUAGUGAAAGACGGUUUCGGCUGUCACUUAUAGAUGGACCCGCGCCGUAUUAGCUAGUUGGUAAGGUAACGGCUUACCAAGGCGACGAUACGUAGCCGACCUGAGAGGGUGAUCGGCCACACUGGAACUGAGACACGGUCCAGACUCCUACGGGAGGCAGCAGUAGGGAAUCUUCCGCAAUGGGCGAAAGCCUGACGGAGCAACGCCGCGUGAGUGAUGAAGGUCUUCGGAUCGUAAAACUCUGUUGUUAGGGAAGAACAAAUUUGUUAGUAACUGAACAAGUCUUGACGGUACCUAACCAGAAAGCCACGGCUAACUACGUGCCAGCAGCCGCGGUAAUACGUAGGUGGCAAGCGUUAUCCGGAAUUAUUGGGCGUAAAGCGCGCGUAGGCGGUUUCUUAAGUCUGAUGUGAAAGCCCACGGCUCAACCGUGGAGGGUCAUUGGAAACUGGGAAACUUGAGUGCAGAAGAGGAGAGUGGAAUUCCAUGUGUAGCGGUGAAAUGCGCAGAGAUAUGGAGGAACACCAGUGGCGAAGGCGGCUCUCUGGUCUGUAACUGACGCUGAUGUGCGAAAGCGUGGGGAUCAAACAGGAUUAGAUACCCUGGUAGUCCACGCCGUAAACGAUGAGUGCUAAGUGUUAGGGGGUUUCCGCCCCUUAGUGCUGCAGCUAACGCAUUAAGCACUCCGCCUGGGGAGUACGACCGCAAGGUUGAAACUCAAAGGAAUUGACGGGGACCCGCACAAGCGGUGGAGCAUGUGGUUUAAUUCGAAGCAACGCGAAGAACCUUACCAAAUCUUGACAUCCUUUGACCGCUCUAGAGAUAGAGUCUUCCCCUUCGGGGGACAAAGUGACAGGUGGUGCAUGGUUGUCGUCAGCUCGUGUCGUGAGAUGUUGGGUUAAGUCCCGCAACGAGCGCAACCCUUAAGCUUAGUUGCCAUCAUUAAGUUGGGCACUCUAGGUUGACUGCCGGUGACAAACCGGAGGAAGGUGGGGAUGACGUCAAAUCAUCAUGCCCCUUAUGAUUUGGGCUACACACGUGCUACAAUGGAUAAUACAAAGGGCAGCGAAUCCGCGAGGCCAAGCAAAUCCCAUAAAAUUAUUCUCAGUUCGGAUUGUAGUCUGCAACUCGACUACAUGAAGCUGGAAUCGCUAGUAAUCGUAGAUCAGCAUGCUACGGUGAAUACGUUCCCGGGUCUUGUACACACCGCCCGUCACACCACGAGAGUUUGUAACACCCGAAGCCGGUGGAGUAACCUUUUAGGAGCUAGCCGUCGAAGGUGGGACCC